UUCUUCGAUCGAGUGGCGAACGGGUGAGUAACGCGUGAGGAACCUGCCUCAAAGAGGGGGACAACAGUUGGAAACGACUGCUAAUACCGCAUAAGCCCACGGGUCGGCAUCGACCUGAGGGAAAAGGAGCAAUCCGCUUUGAGAUGGCCUCGCGUCCGAUUAGCUAGUUGGUGAGGUAACGGCCCACCAAGGCGACGAUCGGUAGCCGGACUGAGAGGUUGAACGGCCACAUUGGGACUGAGACACGGCCCAGACUCCUACGGGAGGCAGCAGUGGGGAAUAUUGCACAAUGGGGGAAACCCUGAUGCAGCGACGCCGCGUGGAGGAAGAAGGUCUUCGGAUUGUAAACUCCUGUUGUUGAGGAAGAUAAUGACGGUACUCAACAAGGAAGUGACGGCUAACUACGUGCCAGCAGCCGCGGUAAAACGUAGGUCACAAGCGUUGUCCGGAAUUACUGGGUGUAAAGGGAGCGCAGGCGGGAAGACAAGUUGGAAGUGAAAUCUAUGGGCUUAACCCAUAAACUGCUUUCAAAACUGUUUUUCUUGAGUAGUGCAGAGGUAGGCGGAAUUCCCGGUGUAGCGGUGGAAUGCGUAGAUAUCGGGAGGAAC
This 608-nucleotide ribosomal RNA is filed under the name uncultured Lachnospiraceae bacterium. RNAcentral's name for it is "bacterial SSU rRNA". It matches the Rfam family "Bacterial small subunit ribosomal RNA", at positions 83 to 707 of the family's 1533-position model. The record is from RNAcentral. Lineage: Bacteria; Bacillati; Bacillota; Clostridia; Lachnospirales; Lachnospiraceae.